AUGGGAACGCGAAGAACCUUACCUAGACUUGACAUCUUCUGCAUUAAUCGUAAUGGAUGAAAUCCCUUCGGGGACAGAAUGACAGGUGGUGCAUGGUUGUCGUCAGCUCGUGUCGUGAGAUGUUGGGUUAAGUCCCGCAACGAGCGCAACCCCUAUUACUAGUUGCUACCAUUAAGUUGAGCACUCUAGUGAGACUGCCCGGGUUAACCGGGAGGAAGGCGGGGAUGACGUCAAAUCAUCAUGCCCCUUAUGUCUAGGGCAACACACGUGCUACAAUGGUGAGUACAGAUAGAUGCGAUACCGCAAGGUGGAGCCAAACUCUAAAACUCAUCCCAGUUCGGAUUGUAGGCUGCAACUCGCCUACAUGAAGUUGGAGUUGCUAGUAAUCGCGAAUCAGAAUGUCGCGGUGAAUACGUUCCCGGGUCUUGUACACACCG
This 437-nucleotide ribosomal RNA is filed under the name uncultured bacterium. RNAcentral describes it as "bacterial SSU rRNA". It matches the Rfam family "Bacterial small subunit ribosomal RNA", at positions 954 to 1392 of the family's 1533-position model. The record is from RNAcentral.